RNAcentral lists this ribosomal RNA (1308 nucleotides) under human gut metagenome. RNAcentral's name for it is "bacterial LSU rRNA". It matches the Rfam family "Bacterial large subunit ribosomal RNA", at positions 582 to 2002 of the family's 2925-position model. The record is from RNAcentral.
GCAACAGGCCCUGACGGCGUACCUUUUGUAUAAUGGGUCAGCGACUUAGUGUUGCAAGCGAGCUUAAGCCGAUAGGUGUAGGCGCAGGGAAACCGAGUCUGAAGAGGGCGAAGAGUUUGCAGCAUUAGACCCGAAACCGGGUGAUCUAGCCAUGAACAGGUUGAAGGUGAAGUAACAUUCACUGGAGGACCGAACCCACUCCCGUUGAAAAGGUAGGGGAUGAUUUGUGGUUAGGGGUGAAAGGCCAAUCAAACUCGGAAAUAGCUGGUUCUCCGCGAAAACUAUUUAGGUAGUGCGUCAAUGUAAUGCCGUCAGGGGUAGAGCACUGGAUGGGCUAGGGGGAAGCGAUUCUUGCCAAACCCAACCAAACUCCGAAUACUGAUGAGCAGUCGUUGGCAGACAGACGGUAGGUGCUAAGGUCUAUCGUCGAGAGGGAAAUAGCCCAGACCGCCAAUUAAGGUCCCCAAGUUAUGGCUAAGUGGGAAAGGAUGUGGGACGACCAAAACAGCCAGGAGGUUGGCUUAGAAGCAGCCAUCCUUUAAAGAAAGCGUAACAGCUCACUGGUCUAAGUAAGUUAUCCUGCGCCGAAGAUGUACCGGGGCUAAAGCCAUACACCGAAAUUGCGGAACUUGGAGUAAUCCAAGUUGGUAGCGGAGCGUUCCGUAGGCCUGAGAAGGAACAUGGUGAUGUGUUCUGGAGGUAUCGGAAGUGCGAAUGCUGACAUAAGUAGCGACAAAGAGUGUGAGAAACACUCUCGCCGAAAGUCCAAGGGUUCCUGCGUAAAGUUAAUCUGCGCAGGGUUAGCCGGCCCCUAACGCGAGGGCGACAGCCGUAGCGGAUGGGAAUGGGGUUAAUAUUCCCCAGCUUGCUGGAAUUGACGACUUGACGGAGUUAUCAUUCCUUAUUGGAUUGGAGUGGUAGCGGGUCGGGUCCGGGAAAUAGAUCCAGCGAAUAAACCGUACCCUAAACCGACACAGGUGGACUGGUAGAGCAUACCAAGGCGCUUGAGAGAACUAUCUUGAAGGAACUAGGCAAAUUGCAUGUGUAACUUCGGGAAAAACAUGCCCUUGCGGCGGGCAACCGUAGCAAGGGGGCACAAACCAGGGGGUAGCGACUGUUUAACAAAAACACAGGGCACUGCGAAGUUGGAAGACGACGUAUAGUGUCUGACGCCUGCCCGGUGCCGGAAGGUUAAGAGGAGAUGUUCACGCAUUGAAUCGAAGCCCCGGUAAACGGCGGCCGUAACUAUAACGGUCCUAAGGUAGCGAAAUUCCUUGUCGGGUAAGUUCCGACCUGCACGAAUGGCAU